AUGGUGCGUCAUCUGUGACGCAUCUCGAGUCAUCGCCUCACGGUCUGCCGCACUUCUUGGCGGGCACUGAUGCGGGGACCGUCAACCUUUGCUCCUUGACUGAUUUUAGAGUCUUAUUGACAUUGGAGUUUGGCAUCACUCCCACAACGAUAGAAAAAUGUAAAUCCGAUGAUAAAGGACGUUUCAUCAGCACCAUUCCUGUUAAAACAUCUAUCGAGGAUGUGAACUUAAAUACUAAGCUAACAAUAAACUCAAUAUCGUGGUCACACGCGAACCCGUUCAACAUAAUCGCCGUGUGCAACACUAGUGUAAGUGUGUGGGAGCUCACACACAGCGACAUGCGGCCGCGAUGCGGUGGGGGGGAUGUGCUUGAGUGUUGCUCCACUGAGCGGGCUCUAACCUUAUUGACUACAGAAGGGGAAGUACAAGUCUACAAAUUGAAGGAUGAAG
This 450-nucleotide unclassified non-coding RNA is filed under the name Melitaea cinxia (Glanville fritillary). RNAcentral's name for it is "misc RNA ENSMCXG00005000156.1". Lineage: Eukaryota; Metazoa; Arthropoda; Insecta; Lepidoptera; Nymphalidae. The record is from RNAcentral.